GGGGAGGUAUGCCUAGUGGCGAUGGCACCUGACUGUAAAUCAGGCACGUUAGAAACACCGGUGGUUCGAAUCCGCCCCUCCCCACCA
Molecule: transfer RNA, 87 nt
Filed under: Massilimicrobiota sp. An142
Lineage: Bacteria; Bacillati; Bacillota; Erysipelotrichia; Erysipelotrichales; Erysipelotrichaceae
Description: tRNA-Tyr
Rfam family: tRNA
About the family: Transfer RNA (tRNA) molecules are approximately 80 nucleotides in length. Their secondary structure includes four short double-helical elements and three loops (D, anti-codon, and T loops).
Source: RNAcentral